AAAAGGCAAAUCUCCAAAAUACCAACUUUCUAAGUUUAUAUCACAAAAAUAGCACUCAAAAACUAAAAUGACCAAAAUAGCACAUUUAUAAGUUUAUCCUUUGAAAAUUUUAAUUUUUUUAUUUUUCAAAAUUUGAAAUCUUAUCCCCAAAAUCUCAUUUCUCAACUCUAAACCCUAAACCCUAAACUCUAAACCCUAAACCCUAAACCAUAAACUCUAAACCCUAAACUCUAAACCCUAAACCCUAAACUCUAAACCCUAAACCCUAAACCUUAAACCCUAAACCCUAAAAUCUAAACCCUAAACCCUAAACUCUAAACC
RNAcentral lists this long non-coding RNA (321 nucleotides) under Brassica napus (rape). Its description in RNAcentral is "long non-coding RNA (BNAP_LNC020234)". The record is from RNAcentral. Lineage: Eukaryota; Viridiplantae; Streptophyta; Magnoliopsida; Brassicales; Brassicaceae.